GAUGAACGCUGGCGGCGUGCCUAAUACAUGCAAGUCGAGCGAACAGAUGAGGAGCUUGCUCCUCCGACGUUAGCGGCGGACGGGUGAGUAACACGUGGAUAACCUACCUAUAAGACUGGGAUAACUUCGGGAAACCGGAGCUAAUACCGGAUAAUAUAUUGAACCGCAUGGUUCAAUAGUGAAAGACGGUUUUGCUGUCACUUAUAGAUGGAUCCGCGCCGCAUUAGCUAGUUGGUAAGGUAACGGCUUACCAAGGCAACGAUGCGUAGCCGACCUGAGAGGGUGAUCGGCCACACUGGAACUGAGACACGGUCCAGACUCCUACGGGAGGCGGCAGUAGGGAAUCUUCCGCAAUGGGCGAAAGCCUGACGGAGCAACGCCGCGUGAGUGAUGAAGGUCUUCGGAUCGUAAAACUCUGUUAUUAGGGAAGAACAAAUGUGUAAGUAACUAUGCACGUCCUGACGGUACCUAAUCAGAAAGCCACGGCUAACUACGUG
Molecule: ribosomal RNA, 497 nt
Filed under: uncultured bacterium
Lineage: Bacteria
Description: partial 16S ribosomal RNA
Rfam family: Bacterial small subunit ribosomal RNA
Source: RNAcentral